GGGGUUGUGGCUCAGGGGUAGGGCACUUGCCUUGCAUGCAGGAGGCACUGGGUUCAAUCCCCAACACCA
This 69-nucleotide transfer RNA is filed under the name Marmota marmota marmota (Alpine marmot). It matches the Rfam family "tRNA". Rfam says of the family: Transfer RNA (tRNA) molecules are approximately 80 nucleotides in length. Their secondary structure includes four short double-helical elements and three loops (D, anti-codon, and T loops). Further hydrogen bonds mediate the characteristic L-shaped molecular structure. tRNAs have two regions of fundamental functional importance: the anti-codon, which is responsible for specific mRNA codon recognition, and the 3' end, to which the tRNAs corresponding amino acid is attached (by aminoacyl-tRNA synthetases). tRNAs cope with the degeneracy of the genetic code in two manners: having more than one tRNA (with a specific anti-codon) for a particular amino acid; and 'wobble' base-pairing, i.e. permitting non-standard base-pairing at the 3rd anti-codon position. RNAcentral also lists the same sequence under 3 other names. The record is from Rfam by way of RNAcentral. Lineage: Eukaryota; Metazoa; Chordata; Mammalia; Rodentia; Sciuridae.